AGGUCAAUGCAAUCCUCUCUGAUGUUG
This 27-nucleotide non-coding RNA is filed under the name Mus musculus (house mouse). The record is from RNAcentral. Lineage: Eukaryota; Metazoa; Chordata; Mammalia; Rodentia; Muridae.